Molecule: non-coding RNA, 45 nt
Organism: Schistosoma margrebowiei
Lineage: Eukaryota; Metazoa; Platyhelminthes; Trematoda; Strigeidida; Schistosomatidae
Source: Rfam
AUCUAUCUGACGUGUCCCAAAUAGGACGAAAUGCGCGUCCUGAAU